This 62-nucleotide transfer RNA is filed under the name Loxodonta africana (African savanna elephant). It matches the Rfam family "tRNA", at positions 5 to 66 of the family's 71-position model. Rfam says of the family: Transfer RNA (tRNA) molecules are approximately 80 nucleotides in length. Their secondary structure includes four short double-helical elements and three loops (D, anti-codon, and T loops). The record is from Rfam by way of RNAcentral. Lineage: Eukaryota; Metazoa; Chordata; Mammalia; Proboscidea; Elephantidae.
UGGUGGUUCAGUGGUAGAAUUCCUGCCUUCUAUGUGGGAGACCCAGGUUCGAUUCCUGGUCA